RNAcentral lists this long non-coding RNA (18730 nucleotides) under Hordeum vulgare. RNAcentral's name for it is "long non-coding RNA (HVUL_LNC006214)". Lineage: Eukaryota; Viridiplantae; Streptophyta; Magnoliopsida; Poales; Poaceae. The record is from RNAcentral.
AGCUGGGUGCAUUUCUGUUAUUUUUGAUUUAAUUAUCAUGGAUGAAGAAGACAGCGGUUUCAUGGGAGGAAAUGGCACUGCGGCAUGUUCUUGGAUGGUGUCACUCGUGUGUGUGAACCUCCUCCAUGGCUACUAACCUCAAAUAGUUCAUCACGUGCCUUGAAUUGGCGUGUCUUGGAUUCGUUUUUCAGUGACAUCUCUUUGAACUUUAGGAUUUCGAAAAACUAGAGAUAGAGCAAACACGUGAAUCGUGUGUCAUGUCAUUUGUCAAUACUACAAGAUAGCAAGGAGGCGCGCUUUUGCACGUGCAAACAUAUAAGCAUGUGCUCUGGAGAGGAUAAAAUUAUCAUACCAAAUUCCGUACAAAUAAAUUCUAUAUUAAUCGCAUUCCUAUGAAUUGAACAAUAGAAAGAAAAUAUUAAAGAUCGGAGUGCUCCAUUCAUUUAGUUCCUUCGACCAGCUGCACGAUGCCGCAAAGUCAACUACUGCUGCACACAGGCUCCGUCGUCAAGCUGAGUUCACCGGUAACGAGUGGAAGCUCCUUAUCGCCAUAGAUAUCUACAUUCUCAGACCUCUCUCGUCCACCGCCGCGGCCGCUGCCCUGCACCCGUGGACCACGUGGGCACAACGUCCUGGCUGGUCCAGGCCGUGCUGGAGAAGUUCGUUAGCGACGACCUGGAGAAGUUCGUCGGCUGCGGCGCGCGGGGCCGACCCCAACCCCGACCCAGAGGCAACAUCCACCGGCUCUGCUCCGGCAUGUAAGGAAUCCCCCUCGCCCUCUCCGCAACCCAGGAUGGUGUGCCCAGGGCACGCAGCGAAGCCCUGCUCGGCUCUAUCAGCCGCCUCCAUGGGCUCGCCAAAGACGCCGACAACCGCUUGAUGCUCUACCACCAGAUCCAUCGCCAACUCUAUUCGGAUGAGGAUAGUGACACAUCGGCAGGUUUUGAGGUGAGCUUAUGAUCUGUGAUGGGCGACUAGAAAUGUUCUGAGACAAAAAACUGCAGUUUUGAAGGUAUAGGACUAACUUGACACACUUAAUAGUUAUACGACUUAUGAUGCAAUUUGCUCCACUUUGCAAAGCUUCAUCACAACAUACUAGCCCAUUGUUGAUGGCCGAAAAUCCCCAUCACAAAAUGGUUUGAGGCCCCGUUCAGAUGCGUUCUGUCUGUUCCUGACAUGGACGACUGCUCUGAUGAAAAAUUACAUAUCCACGGUUAAGCCCCCUGAAGCAAAAAAUGGUGUCCGUCAGGCUCUUCAACUUGUAGAAGUAUAGUAGAUGCACAUGUUUCACGUGAGAUCCUACUGUUGCUAGGUGGUAUCCCUCAGUGACGGUUAAUAUCCAUGCUCCGCUUGUCAGUUUGGCAAAAAUGGAACUUUCCUGAUUAGACGUUGUCAGGCCCAAAUGUUCAUGCAUUCUUACGUGUGACAAGAAAGAGAAACAAUUCGUAGCACUAACAUAUUAUACUCAUGACUACAUGCAUGGCGACCGGAUGAUCUUGGCGUGUAUAUAUGCAGCCCAUCGCAAAGUGUCUUCCUUCCUCAAUUACCAAGUCUCUAACUUUAAAUGAAGGCAUGUAGUCCUGGACUCAGUAAUGGACUAGAAGACAUUCCAGUAAUAAGCUACCAGUACAAUUGUGAUGAGAUGUUGAAGAGAAACAAACAAACAAGCUGUUCUCCAAUAAGUUUGUAUUUAAUUAGCUUGCCUGGAUUAUGUAUUAAGUCAUCUUCUUGUCCGCCCUUGUAGUAAGGGAGCAGUCCCUAGGGAGGAAGUGGCGCGUGGGGCUGAAUUUGGAUGGCAUCCUCGCAUGACAACAACGGUCAUGGUGGUCGUCUCCCUCCUUGGCCUUCCACGAAUACCGGCGUCGUGGGAAGGUCAAGGUGCAAUUUAUGUGAGGACAUGAGCAUUAAAAUAUAACUGUAAUUCAGAGUUUCAGACAUGUACCUUUCACCUAGGUUCAAAACUAAUUUUGACUACCCAAGUUCGAAAUUCAGUUCACGGAAGCAUUGUACAUCAGCUUGGAAUGUACAUGGACUCGUAAGCGAUUGUACGACUUCUGCAUAAUUGACACAAACUAGUAACUUGGACCGGUUCCAUGUUCGAAUUGAUAGUUAACCAACUCAAUAAACUUUUCUACUUCAGCCCUAACACAUUUUUUUUGCGAAACUGAGCAUGGAUAUUAACAUAGUAUAAAGAUGACAAUUUUCUCCACCGUCAAUGUUAGGCCAUCUCUAGGGCUAGGAGCAUUGUCAUUAUUAUUAUCACGUGCAUGGUCUUGAUCAAGUGACUGAUUAUCAGAUGACACUUGUGGAUUUUAUAUAACAAACUUAUCUAUAUCUAGUUUCUGAGAUCGAGUUAAAACCUUGAGUUUUUGUUUCUUCGAACGCUUUUUAAUCAGAUUCAUGCUUUCUAAACAAAGAAAUGACUAAGAUCUUGCAAUACUACACACCUAAUAGAAAGAACAAAUUACCAAUACAAUAUUUUAGCAGAACUAUAGGGAAUGGAAUUGAAACAACUCACAGUAUUUUCAAAGUAUUCCCUACCUUUGAUUCAAAUUGAGCAAUAUGAUUAUGAAUCUUUUUUAUCUCUAGCCAUUGCAUAACAUGCUCCAAGGUUAAUGUUGUUUCAUUAAUAGUGAGAGCUGGUGAUCCCACUAAAUUUUCCUUGGCAUUGAGAGCAUCCGUAUUGCAACCCAUCAAGAAACUACCACCGUAAUAGUAUCAAGCACAAAUAUGUACCAAGUAGUGAUUGUUAGAGUAAUCCAAACACACGUGUGUUAGGUUUGCUAGUUUGGGCAGUGUAAUUGUGAUCAACUUGCUGGUGAUUAUUGUAGGAAUGUGUUUGAUGUCUUUGUGUUAGUAGUCUACGUGUUCAAGUAGAUUAGAAAAGCUUGUUGUAGUGGUUGUAUUAGCUGAGACCGAUUGGAAUCGGAAUUAGCUUGGUCGUGUCCUUUUUUUAGAAAAGGAGGCAACGCCCCGGCCUCUGCAUCGAGAGAUGCAUACAACCCUUUAUUAAUAAAAAGAAACCAGAUCCGGAACGAGUACAAUAAUGUUGAGAGUUAAGAACAAAAACGAAUCGAUACAAGGCGCUCAAAUCGCCCAAGCAGCAGAAGUAUAAUAAGUAGAUGUCUAGCCACCUAUCCUAUUAGCUUGCCGCCAUCCAAACCGGUUGAAGAUAACCUGUGCUACCAUCUCCCAGCGGAUACACCCAGUAACCAUAAGCUCCAUGGAAUCCGCAGGAGUGAGUAAUGACCACGUGCGGGUCAGUGCGGUAGCCCUGUAUAUUACCUGCAAAAAAUGUAUAGAUGUGCAUCUGUUAAAAACUAAAUCAUUCCUGCAGUUCCAAAUUGCCCAUAGUAAUGCGCAAGCUCCAACCCGGAUACUCUUUGCCAAAUGACCACCAACUCCCUGUACCCACGUCCCAAACAACGUAUUGAAACUAGUGGGUGGGGUGAUAUUAAAAGCAAUGUGUAUAGAACGCCAUAAGAUUUUAGCCAUCGGACAUUGGAAAAAGAGGUGCUUGAUAGUUUCCUUGUUGUCGCAAAAGUUGCAUCGCUGGCUACCCUUCCAUUUACGUUUAGCCAAGUUGUCUUUCGUGAGGAUAACACCUUUGUGAACGAACCACAUAAAGAUCUUUAUCCUCAACAGAACUUUGACCUCCCAGACAUGCUUUGAUCUUGGUAUGUACCCUGAAUCAAUAAGAUGAAGGUACAUAGAUUUUACCGAAAAGGAUCCAUCCUUAGUUAGCUUCCAACGAAUAGUGUCGGGCUGAUCCGACAGUUGUAUUUGCAUUAAUCUCCUAACUCAGUGUAGCCAUCUGGUCCAUCUUACACCGAUCAAAGAUCGACGAAACCUGAUAUUUAGAGUCGUGUUGCUCAAGACUGCCACAACCGACGCUUGUCUGCGUUGGACAAUAUUGUAUAUCCUCCCAGAAUCUAGUUGAUUCACCAUUAGCAAUGACAAACCUAGUCUGGUUAAAAAACACGUUCUUACACCUCAUCAAUCCUUUCCAAAAUGGAGAAUCAUUGGGUUUAACGGUGACCUGAGCUAAGGUCUUAUGUUGCAAGUACUUAUUCCUUAGAAUUUGCACCCACAUGCCUUCGGUUUCUACCGAAAUUCUAAACAGCCAUUUACUUAACAAGCAAAUGUUUUUAACCUCUAAAUUCUCCACCCCUAAACCCCCUUGAUCUCUAGGUCUGCAAAUAAUUUCCCAUUUAGUAAGCCUAUACUUUGUUUUCACUUCAUCACUUUGCCAAAAGAAACGUGACCGAUAGAAAUCUAACCUCUUCCUUACCCCUUUAGGUAACUCGAAGAAGGAUAAUAGGAACAUCGGCAUACUGGUUAAUACUGAAUUAACCAGUACUAGACGUCCUCCAUAAGAUAGAAGCUUUCCCUUCCAAGAACUUAGCUUCUUUUUGGAUCGGUCUACGAUGCAUUUCCACUCCUUGUUUGUCAGUUUCCGGUGAUGGAUAGGCACCCCCAGAUAAGUGAACGGAAAAGUCCCACACUCACACCCGAACAGUUGGUUGUAAGUAUGCUGUUCCUCCUUUGCCCUUCCAAAACUUUUGUCAAAGUCAAUCUUUAACCCAGACAACUGUUCAAACAAGCAUAAGAUAAGUUUCAUAUUUCAGGCCUUCUCUAAAUUAUGCUCCAUGAAGAUAAUGGUAUCAUCGGCAUAUUGUAAGUUUGAGACACCCCCAUCCAAUAGAUGCGGUACAAGUCCUCCUACCAGAUCAUUGUCACUAGCCCUCCUAAUCAUCAAGGCCAACAUGUCGGCAACAAUGUUGAAAAGAAUCGGCGACAUAGGAUCCCCUUGUCGUAGACCCUUCAGUGUCUGAAAAAAAAUGACCGACGUCAUCAUUCACUUUGAUCCCGACACUGCCUUUUUUAAUGAAACAGUCGAUAUGCUUCCGCCAUAACUGGUCAAACCCCUUCAUACGUAGAGUUUGGUCGUGUCCUAGUAGGAGUACUAGUCCGUACAAGUUAGUAUUAAGGAGUCCACGUCGGUGGUCUGAGUCGGGUCUUGCACCUAUAUAUACAUGGGUGUGUGCGUGAUAUUUUUAAUGUGAGUUGUGAAAAGCAAUAAAUAGAGGAAUUUAUAGGGUACGAGAUGUACACUUGUUUAAAGUUUUUUGUGCAUAUGCGUUCGUGUAUUUUGGUUUGAUCGAUCCUUGGGAAAAGCCAACAACUAAUAUAAAAGCAAAAUUGAGGUGAAGUUAUGCUUGCUCCGGCCUCACAAGCGCCUCAGGUGGGGGGGGGGGAUACAGAGUGAUGAGGAGAGCGGUCGACAUAGUCGUUGGGUGGUGCAGCAGCAAGGAGGAAUGGGAAAUAGUCGCUUGAGUGGCGACGUGAAGGAUCAUGCGAUAUAGCCGUUCGGUGGAGAGACAAGGAUAAGACAUUGAGGAUGUGGUUGCAAGCGAGGCGACGGGCGACAGGCUGUCCUCCACAAAGGCACUAGUGAUUGUUGAUGGUUAUGGAGGUGUGGAAUUGGCACCGAGUAGUUCAUUGAGAUUGUCGUUGGAGGGUGUAAGGUGGAUAUGGCGAAGUUGUGAGCCGUCGUCAAGGUGUGAAGGUGAGUUCUGUCUUGCUUUAUUUGAAAAAUAUCUCUGUCCGGACAUGUUUUGGUUGAUACUCCAAGUCCCUAUCUUUGCUGGUAUACACUGAGUUCGGUUUAUGUUCACCAGAUCUUGAAUGAUGUUACUCCUAGCUAGAAUCUGCUGCUAUAGUGUGUUCCAUAUAUUUGUGAGAUCUUGAAUUUCGACAUGAACCUACAAAUCAAAAUGCAGAUGCAGAGGUAGGUUAAGCUACACAUGUAGCUCCAUGUAAACCACCCUCCUCCUUACAAGACAACGUGAGAUCUACUCCCUUCGUUCCAUAAUGAAAGAGCAUUUUUACAUUAAUAUAGCAUAAAAACGUUUUUAUAUUAUAGGUCGUAGGGAGUAUCUAUCAGACAAAAAGAGGAACUAUCUUCUAUUGUAUUUUUGUUUUCUUUCUGUGCUUCUCAUGCACCUCCCUCCCGAAUUUUGUACUGAUUUUCAAGUCAUCCUUUUUUACCCCCUGGUCAUUAUAUAGAAAUGAAAGAUCUAGCAAGCAAGACAAUCUAGAUUAGUUGAGAUUCAAACGCCCCUGUGUGAUUUAAAAGGAGUAUGUCACUAGCAGUAAUAAAUAAAGAAUGGUAAUGGCACCCACAAACAGAAAAAGAUCCAAUGAAAAACAUAGUAUAUGUAAUCACGUUUGGGAUGAGUUUCUAGAUUAAUUCACCGUUUCUGGUAUCUGUUCGAUCCAACAACAUGGUGUGAAUGGAAAAGAUUCAAUUUCCCGAUAUUCAUUAGGAAGGAUGGAGUCAAAACUGACAUAAUCCGCCCCAUUUUCCACCUUGAAGCUAUUCAAAUGAUAGCUGAAUGCCAUCGCAAUUUGUUUACAAGUCUCUGAUCUUCUCAAAAAUAGAAUCUCUUUGUGUGGGUUAAAUCCAAGUAUCUCAGUGUCAAAAUAUACACCAGGAUACGCUUCAACCACGUCUUUUUUAUCAUCAAAAUCAUCAUUGUCGGAGUUCGAUUUAAAGUUCUCUUCAACUACUAGUUUCUUGUUUAUUUCUGGAAGAUUAGAACCAAAGAAGUCGUAGCUAGUUGAUGUCUUCUAAGAUCCAUUGUUCAUGAACUUAACUUUGUGAUUAAACGCUUUCAUAGGGUUAAGGUCAUAGUCAUGCUUCAAGAUCCAUUCGGUGCCAUCAUACAAUUCAGCGAGGAUAAAAACCCGAAUGUAUGCCGCACGAAAUGAUGCCAAAUACACCCCAUUUUCCUAUCUUCCUAGGUAAGGGUAUGCCAGACCCGUUGGUAGCUUAAUCACACUAUACUUAUCUUCAGACAAGGUACUCUGCAAAAUCAACUGUUGGCAGAAAAAUAUAAAAAAUCAUGUAACCGAGAUUUUGUUUAUUAAGACAAUAAACAUGAAAGGGUAAAUAAAGUUAUUAACGGGAAAACAUGUGUAUUUACCUCAUAACAAAAUAAUUUCUGCAGUGCACGUAAAAUGAUCCUCGCUAGUAGACCGAGUAGAGCCGGUUGUAACUGUAAUAGGGACGUGUCGUUGGAAUAGUCCCGCGACAUCCCCUUCUCGAGUAAAUUUCCUCUCCGACCAAUGACGUGUCCUUGAGGAGAAUACAUGCAAUAUAUAUGGAGAUGGCGGCCAUUGGGAUGCCUCCUCUAAAGGAUCAAACGUGCCUUUUGAGGAACUUAAAUGGGAACACAAACUCGGGAUCUGAAACAGCCGAUAGUGGGAUGACACUAUGGGAUCAAAGACUAGGUAAUUACAGAAGUAAACACCACGGACGAUGUCCCCAACAUGGCCGGGCGGGCACGAGGACAAUGGUAGAAGCAAAUCCUAGCAACGUGUGGAAGGGUUGACCACGUAGAUGCAUGGCACGCCUGUUAGGGUUAACCAGGUGGGUGCUAAGUAAAAGGAGGGCAUUGUAGUGAUCCUGGAUGGUGGAUUCGUCCGAUCCAUCUGUUAUGGUCGUCGAAGAGAAGUCAAGCUUGCCUCUGACCGUAGGCUGUACCGGCGAAGGGGGCGGGAGAAGAACUCGGGUAAGGGGAGCUCGGUGAAGGCGAUGCAGAUGGCACUGAAUGGGAGCUCCGUGCAAAGGAGGCCGUCACCAUCGAUGAUAGCACGCCAUGCCUUGCAGACGCAGCAAGAGACGGCAAGCCAACACGGUGCCACCAGGUGUCGUAGCACGUCCUCGAUGCACCGUGUUCCUCCUCUUUCGUCGUCUAGAUCUAUAUGUGCGCUUCCUGAUUGAUGACCUAAUUAAUACCAGCAUGGCAGACUGCCGAUACAUAUCUCAGCAGGAAGUUGGUCGUAUUGGAGAAGGAAACCUACAUGACGGAGGCCUCCUAUACCUAUACAUAUGUAUCUUGGACACUACGGGUGUGCAGUACUUAAAGCUAGCCCCUUGUUUGAUUGCAAACCAACCCGUGGUUUGAUGGUUACAAGGAUUGUGGUAUCCCCUGCCCACCAGAGAUUCAAAUCCCAGAUUUGACAUUGGUGCUUGCAUUUUUCUGGAUUUAUUCCAGACCUUUCGACGAUGCACCUUCAGUGAAAGGAGACAUUCCCGUCGACUACAAAGGCGUCGGGUGACGACACGGGGAAAGGCCGGUUGACGAGGUGGUGGAUGCAUGUUCUAUACUUGGGCUAUUGCUAGCAUGGAAUUUCCGAGUGCUAUUAUUCCAAGAGAAAUCACUUUAUGACCUAUCUUGGUCUUUUCUUACUUCCAAAACAUUUCCGCCACAUUCUUAAGUAAAUGAGAUGACACAAAUCUUUCAUUUUCUGUUCACUAAAUAAGAUUGUAAAUGCAGCGACAUGCUCCUGUAAUUAAACUUGAUGUCAGCCUAUACAUGCACAAAAUCCUACUUGCAAGACACAUACAUGAGUGAGAUAUAUCUCAAGCAAGCAAGCCAGAUGCUUGAGAUUCAUUCCAAACGCACUUGAGUGAUACUAGCGGGGUAUCGAGCAGCUAUAAUUGCUGAGAAUAUGGAGUUUAUUGCAUUUUUCCAAGGGAGCGGGGAAUUUCAGCAUGUGCAUCAUGGCACACAAUUAUUUUAUUGAACAUAAGAUGAGUCCAAGUCACUGAGUACAUAAAGUUUUACAUAGAAAUACAAUAAACGGGCCAGAAACAAGAUUACAGAGCUCAUCCACGUAAUGUGAUAUUGACAAACCAACCAAGCUGGUUGAACAAACCCACGCAACUAUUUCCAGACGGUUGGUUGCCCACGAACCCCUGUCGUGUCGACAGCCCGCAGUGAUGACCGUUUACGGAUUGUCGGUGCAUCUUUGAAGAUAGAUUGUAGAGGUGUCAACCAUGUUUGAGGCGGGAUCACAUAAUUUGGUUCAUUAGUUUAUUGUUCCUCCUAUUUUCAUUGUCCAACAACAUGGCGUGUAUGGGAAGGACCGAAUGUUCCGCUCAUCAUUAGCUAGACCAAUGUCAAAAUACUCAUAACCCGUUGGGUAUAUGCUACCUAACCUUUCAACCUUGAAGCUAUUCAAAUGAUAGGAAAAUCCUGUCGCAUUUAAUUUAUAGCUCGCCGACCUACUCAAAAACAGAAUCUCUUUGUACGGGUGAAAUCCAAGUAUGUCAAUAUCGAAACAGUGAUGGUGGCACGCUUCAGCAACGUCCUUGUUGUCAUGAAAAUCUUCAUUAUCAGAGUCCCAUUCAAAUGUAUCUUCAAGUGUUGUUGCUUCCUUCUUGAACUGUAAAAUAUGUGAGCUGAAUAAGUCAUAGUUAAUGUCUUCUAAGACCCAUGAUCCAUGACCAACUUGUGAGUCAAACGCCUCUAUAGGCUUAGGGUCAUAAUCAUGUUUCAGUAUCCAUUCCGCAUGAUUUACGUGAUUCAUCCAGGGUACAAACCCAUAUGUGAUUGCUCACAAAUGAUGCAAACUAUACAUCCUUCUCCGAUAAUCCUAGAUAAGGGUUCUCUCCGACACCUGUCAGUGGCUUAAUUACACUGUAAGUAUCUUCAGAUAAAGAUAUUCUGCAAAAUCAAAUCAUUAGCAUGAAACUUUUAUAGAUCUCAAUAAACUGAUGAAUAAUGCUUGCAUUAAGGAAAAGUAAUAAUUAUUGAAACGACGUGGAUACCUCAGAACAAAGUCAGUUUGGCAAUGCACGUAUAGUGAUCCCCGCUAGCAAACAGAGCGGAGUAUACUUUCACCUCCCAAAGACUUGCACAUCUUUGAAAUGGUCCCAUGAGCAUCUCCUUGUCGAACAAACAACCUCUCCUCCCAACAACUUGUCCUCGACGAGAAUACAUGGAGGACAUAUGGAGAUGGAGGCCACUCGGAUGCCUCCUCUAAUGGGUCACGCAUUUUGUUCAUGCAUUCGUGAUGGUAAAAGAAAGGGAAACAAUGUGUAACACAAACGAAAAUUACAUGCAGGGUGGAGAAAUGUAUUCGUGCCUACAUACAUGCAUGGCCACUAGAUGAUCCUGGCCUGUAUAUAUACAACCCAUUGCAAAGUGUCUUCCUUCCUCAUGUACCAAGUAAUAGUAAGUCAGCAAUUUCUAGCUUUAAAUGGAAGCAUGUAGUCCUGGACUUACUAAUGUACAAGAAGACAUUCCAGUUAUAAGCUACUACAAUUGCUAUGGGAUGUUGGAGUCAAACAAACAAUCAAGUUGUUUUGCGCUAGUUUUUAUUUAACUAGCAUUCAUGGAGUAUGCAAUAAGCUAUCCCAUCCACUGUCCCUCAAGUUGGAUUGUUGCACGCUCCCAUGGAGGUGGGAUCAUUGGGACGCUGUAACCGUUGUCGGACCGCCCAGAGAAAGAGUAGUCCCAUUCAGUAAAGAGGCGUGGGCAGAAGAAAUUGAAGAAUCCUGUUAGUUAGGCGGCCCCACAUGGCCAUGAUGGUUGGGUGGAAUACCUGCAUCGUUGGAAUGUCAAGAUGGAAUUUAUGUCCAUACAUGAGCAGAAAUAAAGUUGCGGUUCAUACAUGUACUUUUCACCUCGGUUCAGAACUAUUAUUGACCGCGCAAGUUGAAAAUUCAAUUCCAAGAUCAAUGUAUUUUACAUCAACUUGUAAUCUACAAGGUAUUCAUAAGGGACUGUUCAGAGAUUUGCAUAUUUGACUCCAAACUAGUAACUUGGACCGAUUCCAUCUCUAUUAUACUCUUUUUUCUUGCUAUCUGGUCAAUGGGAAGGGAUGCCUUUUUUUGUUUUUAGGUUCCACGUGGGUUUGGGUCAGAUGAGAUUUGGAUUGGAUAGUAGUAAGAGUUUUGAGCACCGUUAUCGUAUCAUAAUGAUUCAUGGUUCCAUUUAGCUUCCUUUUUUAUCUUGUUACAAUGAUUUGGAUUUGGUUUGGGUCAGUUGGUGUCGACGCCAUACCAUCCUUCAACACCUCCUGCAACUUUUUCAUCCUGUGAGGAGUCACCUUCAUCCUCAUCAAACUUGUAUCGACAAUCCUUUGCGGAGUGGUCGGGUUUCCCACAGAUUUGGCAUCUGAUGGCAUCGGGACAAGAGGUUUUGAAGAUGCAACGGCCCCUGUUGUUGGACGAGGGGGACGACCGCUGCCCCUAAUGCUGGGAGUUGGUGUUGUUGGUGUUCCCCGCAGGCUUGCCCUUGUUACGUGGCGUGCCACGGUAGAGAGACCCUCGACAGCUGCCAUGAGAGGCAACGUUUGCAGAUGAUUUGAAGCCGACGGCGUUGUGGAACAGCGCCACCCUCUGAUCAGAAGUGCUGAUGUGAGCAAAGAGAUCGUCGAGGGUGACUGGUUCGGUGCGGGCGUCGAAGGCCGACACCAGGGGCUGGUACUACAUAUCCAACCCUACGAGGAUGUAGGAGAUCGCUUCGUCGUCAUCCAAGGGCUCGCCGGCGGCUGCCAGCUCAUCAGCAAGCGGGCGCAUGUGGGCAAAGUAAGUGCCCACAGAUUGGGUACCCUUCUACGCGUAGGAGAGAGCAAUGCAGAAGUUGUUCACCAGCGAUCUGGACUGCGAUGAGAACAUGCUGGCAAGUGCAGUCCAGAGCUCGUUGGCCUUGCGGAUGGAGGUGACCUGAACAAGGACAUCUCGAGAUAGGUUGUUCAAGAGAUGUGCUUGUACCUGUUGAUCCUCCCUGACCCAGGCUUGAUGUAGAGAGUUCGGGACAGAAUCCUCUUUUCCAUCUUUGUCUUUGGUGAUGUUGCUCUUCGGUGGCUCCGGUGUGGAUCCAUCGGCAUAGCCGAAGACCCUGCGCUGAUGAGCUGUGGCGUGAUUUGCGCACGCCACUGGACAUAGUUUGUCUUGGUGAGCUUCUUUGUGACUUGCCCGUUGAUGACGGACAUUGGUGCGGCAGAGGAAGACGACAUGGUGGAGCAACGGAGGUGGCGAGAGAAAGUCUAGAUGUGAUGGUGGAAGAAGGCUCUGAUUACCAUGUAAGAUUUAGCUUAACGUAUUACCUCGUUAAAGGCGAUGGGUCCGUGUUAUAUAGGCAGGGGCGAACCCUGAUAUGCAUACAACUUGGAGAGGAAGAUUACAAAGAGAUAAGUACUAGGAGAAGGUAGUUUAAACAAUAGAAUCUAAAGUCCUCUAGAUAUUCUAGCUGCAUACGGCGGCUGAGCCUAUCUUCUCCUUGUGCAUCACGUCAGGAAGUUGGUUUAACAGCAGCAAGUCAUCUGUACCUCUACUAAUUAGACGCUUCCUAAUAAUUCCCACGUUAAUUAAAAAAUUAGAACCGUUCAUCUGGUAGGACCAAGUUAUUACGGUGUAGAUUAGCCAAUAGACCGUUAAAAAAAUUAUAUAGAUUGGCACCUAUACUAAUUAGAGGCUCCCUAAUAAUUUCCACGUUCAUUAGAAAAUUAGAGCCGUUCAUCUGAUAGGACCAAGUUAUUACGGUGUAGAUUAGCCAAUAGACCGUAAAAAAAUAUAUAUAGAUUUGCCAACGGAAAAAAAUCCUUUUUGGUUGCCACGUCUACAAUAAGUAAUGAAGAAAAAAAAUCCAAUCUAUACGUACAAGCAUAAAAUAAAAUUUGGUUGCCACGUCUAGAAUAAGUAAUAAAGAAGAAAAAAAAAGGAUCCAAUCUGUACGUACAAGCAUAAAAAAAAUAUAGCGAUGUUCUAGCAUAGAUAGCGUCCAAAAGAACUGCCCCAGCGCAUCCUCAUCCACGCCACGACCGCCGCCGCCGCCGCUGCAUCGCCUCCGUUUCUUUGGACGCCCAUGGACGCCCAGCUGAAGAUCAACUCCUUCCUGUCAGAAUAGAACGCCCAGUUGAUUGGUUUAUGCAACACGGUGCUAUCCUACAUCUGAUCCAACUUGACCCGAGCUUGGCCCCUUCUCAGUUCUUGGCGUAUGCACGGAUUAGAUGCCAGGCUCCUACCACGACAAGCAGGCUAAGCUCACAGAUCUGUUUUGUUGCAAAACUACGUACUUGAUUACAAUGAUUUCUCUCAAAAUAGCAGGUUAUUUGUCGUCUUGGUAAUUAGUUGAUAAAUGUUCUGUGCAAUCUUGCUCCAAUCUUUUAGUUUUUCACCAGCCUAGAUAUCUAUAUGCAGUUUUAGGUUGAAGCUGGCAGUCGAGUUAACUCUUUCUAUCAACUUUCCUGCACUAACUUAAGCACCAUUAUAAGUCUUUAUACUGAUCCUUAAACAAUAUAAAGUGCAUAUAUCAUCGUCUUUACAUGCGGGGUUCCAUACCACAUAAACUAGGUGGUGCUAUCAAUUUUUGAUCAACACAAACGAUUGUCUUCUUAAAUUCAAAUAUUCGGUCUGACUUCAUACUUUCUUCAGUCUUGGUAAUUAGUUAUGUGUUCUCUAAUUUUUAGAAAUAGAUACGGCUGAUCGGCACAAUUCUGCCCUCAACCCUCUAAUGAUCAGUCUUAAUCUGUUAUUUCAGGGAGCCAUCAUAUUUCUAUUGUUCGAGACUACUUGAUUCUUAUUUUUAAGCAUCCCCCUUUACACAUUCUUGCAUUCUUCUUAAUUCAUAAACAAGUUGGAGUGUGUGUAUAGGGAAGAUAUAGGGGGCACAACAUACUACGUACUGCUGAGAAAAAUGGUAAGCCAUCAAGAGCCAUCAACAGUAGUGUAUAAUACUAUACAAAUGUUUAACCGUGUGAAGAAUACUUUAAAGUGUUUGCCGAUAUUUGUAGGCUAAAACUAUGUACAAAUUAUUUCUUAUCAAUAUUCUCUCCAAACUGUAUGUGUUUAUUUCGCUUGGUUAAAGGCGUAAAAGUGUGUGGCGCUACGAUUUCUGGAGCAAGCCAGGGAAUUCUAUAUUUUGUUUGAUUUUUCGUCGGAUCUCAUCUUUUUAUUGGAUGUCUUGAGUAAUUGUCGUAUCAUGGGACACAUGUUUUACCCUGGCACCGAAACCUUCUAUCUUAUCCCGGAUGGGUAAAAUUUCUAAAAUUUUACGUUCAUAAAUUUGAUGCAAGAUGGACCUGCAUGAUAUUGCUUUGAGAUCAUGUAAAAUUAUGUUGUAUAUUGCAGGUUGUUUGAUGCUUGCAACAAAAACUAUAGCAAACAUGUAAACUUUUGAUGAUGGACGUUGGCUGCAACUCGGUUCCAUCCAUUCAUCUAAGUAACCUGUCUACGCAUAAAUUGACGUACAUAUGUAUUUUCAUCCCUGCAUAUGACAAAUAGUGUUACUUUCCACCGCAGCCUUUGAGUGUCACAUGGUUUCUAGAGGCUGCACUGUCUAUGCACAUAGACACAUCUUUCAUAGUGCACGUUGUUAGUUCACUAAUUAUAUAUGUAAUUUAAUUCAUCUUGAGUUACGGUUUGCAAGCUACAGCCAGAGAACCUGAUUUUGUCACUUUAAUCUUCAACGAGCAAAAGGGCCCGUGCGUUGCAACGGGAGAAAAAUAAUUAUAAUUUUUAAGGAUGCUGGUCAUAUUAUGUCCUUAAUAUUUUAGGACAUUUCUUGAAAUGCAUGAACAUUUUUUGAAUUAGCAAACAUUUGUUUCAAUUGCACUCAAAAAAUAAUACACAAUUUUUUUUCUCAAAAUCAUGGACUUUUAUUGUUUUCACCAACAUUGUUCUCAAAAUUAUGAACAUUUUUCUGAAUAUGGAAAUACUUUUACAAAUAUCCCGAGCAUUUUUUGAAUUCACAAACAUUUUAUGUUUUUUCAAAAUUCUAUUUCAAAAUUCUCAGUUUUAUAAGUUGCAAAAGUUUUUCAAAAGUCGAUAUUAUUUACAUUUUAAAAAAUGGAACAGAAAAUAAAAAUAAAAAAUGAGACUAAAAACAAAGGCACGAACUGUUUUUAAGAUUUUUAAACGGACUUUUGUUUAAAAUUAUUGACUUUUUUCAUUUUACAGACAUUUUCUAAAAAUUUAAACAUUUUUUUGUAUAUGCAAACAUUUUUCAAAACUCCUGAGUAGUUUUUGAUUUCUCAAAAAAAAUAUGUUUUUUAAAUAUUUUAUUUCAAAAUUCUCAGUUUCUUAGAUUUAAGAAAAGUUAUUUGAAGUUCUAAAUUACUUAUAUUAUAAAAAAUGGAACUGAAAAGUAAAAUAAAAACUAAACUAAAAGUACAGGCGGCCACGCAUGGGCCAGCCAAAAUAGGUGUGAUGCAUCUUUUUCCAAUUCCCAGAGCGUAAUAUAGGAGGUCCCUACAUGGGCCGGCCCAGUCCGGAGAUUUUCCUGUUUGAAACGUUUUCUAUGACUUAUAAGUGGCAAUUAUGGGUAAUUUUCAUCAAUUUUAUGAACAAUGUUAAUAACGGACGACAAAAGCACUAAUUGUUUUAUUAGUAAGUAAAGAUAAUAGCAGAUUACUAUUUUGCUGAUUUACCAUCAGUUUCAAGGAAGAAUUACAUUAUCUUUCCAACAUCGAAGUUCUAGAUAUCAUGGGGCUUUUGUUUAUGUUUGUUUGACAAUCUUUAAAUAGUUUCUGAAGUGAAACUGGCUCAAAGGGUUCGACAAUGGAAGUGUGAGGAUAUAGCUUCUACUGAUCGUCCGUUUAAGCCAAGUACAUGAAUGGUUUUUCAUAUGCUUGGAGCCUAAUGAAGCAAUACACGGAUGUAUGGAUCGUGGAGGUCACUUGGUACACGAUAUUGACGUACAAGCAUGGUCAAGGUGACGAUGAUGCACACAUCAUUUUGUAAGCCACGUUGCAAUAUUGGCAAGCACAUGAAGUACUCUCCAACAUGCAAGAAAAAUGGGCUCUCAAGAUGCAAUCAAAAAUAAUAUCACUUUGACAUUAUUUUGAUGCCUCACUCAUCGGUAUCAUUUACAUCUACUCUCGAGAAAAAAUGGUUUGUCUCCAUGAACUGCAUUAACCAUGUCAUGCAGGCAUAUAGAUAUGUAUACAUGCAUGUCGAGGUAUGUACUCAUUCUGAACCAAUAUUUAUCAUCGACGUAGCCUUAAUUAAUAUGCAUUUCCCACAAAAUAAAGUAUAUGCAUUAACUGAAGUAUAAGUUGGUUUCUAUAAGGGGUACAUCAGAUGCAAAUUCAUCAUGUCGUACAUGUUGGAGGGAGGAGGAGGGGCAAAAAUACAUGAUAUGCCUGUUCAUGAUACACACCCUACUCCCGAUUACCAUAUUUACUACAAGAUUUCUAUAAAUCCACAUUUUAUAUGUAGUUAGUAAAAUUCUCUUUAUGCAUUGCAAAAAAAGGGAAAAAUGGAUAUUUGAAGUUUCAAACUUCAUAUGUUUUCUAAUAUUUAACCUUUAUCACUACAUUUGUAUGAACAUAAAUCAUAAGAAAAUCAAAAAGUUAUUAUAGAAUAUUAUCAUGGAAAGUUACCUAAUAUUUUUUACAUUCAACUAACCUAAAUAUUUUGUAUGAGCAUUGUGAAAGAAGUAUGUCGUCGAGCUUCCUAAUAACUAAUCUACUUUAGAACAAAUCAAGGUUUUUAUGUGUAGCUCCAGCAUAAGAUAAAACUCUUGCUACAUGCAAUAAAGGUUUAGCGAGCAAAGGUGUAAGACCUAUUUUUUAUUUUUUGGCAAAAAUAGAUCUAUUAUAACGAUCCACUGGAUUCUAUAAUGUAAAUGUUAAGAUAUAGUUAGGGACAACAAUUGGUUGAAGCGACACUGUAUAUCAACACCCAAAGGGAUCAAAGGCAGAUCAAUCGGGUCAAUUAUGAGAUACUGUUUGACAAGUGAGUUGCGUAUUUGAAUUAUUAUGUUAAUCUUUCUUUACACAUAAUAGAUUGGGAUACAACAAUUCCAAGAUGAAAUACAUAGUUCUUUUAUCUUUCAGUAUGAGUGAGACAUUUAUUUUAUAUUACAUAACACAACAUCUGCUGAUAUGAAAAGUGCCAUAAAUUAUAAACAAAAGUUCCUAAGUCGGUCAACUAUUUAUAAAGUAACCACUGAUUUCUAUCAAGGAAAUAUAAACACAAAUUAUCUAGGGACAAAUUAAGCCGUUUCAUAUGAUCCAAAGUUGUCACAUAACUUUAAGUUAUCUAUGUCAAAUGUUAACGUUAUUGUGUAAUGUGUUAUCAUGCCUAAUUAAUUUGGUGCUCAUCCAUUAUAGUAAUGGUAGGAACCAGAUUUUUCUUAUCUCAAUCGCAAACAUUAUUCUCUUCACAAUAAAUUUGACCUCACCUAUGCAAACAAUAGAAAUAUCUAUAGCUAGCCCGUGCGAGCGCACGGGUGGACGACUAGUUAAAUUUAAUUAUAGUAAAAAAGCACAUUUUGUUCAUGCAUUCUUCAUGUGAAUAAGAAAGAGGAACACUGGAUAACACGAACAAAUUGCGUGCAAGGUGCAAUAAUAUACUCAUGAUCGACCACAUACAUGAGCAUAGGAUGAUCUUGGCAUGUGGUGUAUAUAUAGAGCCCAUGGCAAAGUGUCUUCCUUCCUCAAGUACCAAGCAGUAGCAAGUCAGCAGGCUAUCUGUUAAGAUGAAAGCAUGUAGUCCUAGACCGGAAGACCAUAGUGGACUGAAAGUCAUUUCAGUAAUUAGCAAUCGUACAGUGUCUGUAAGAUGUUGGAGCGAAACAAACAAGUGGGGUGCGUUUCUGUUAUUUUCGAUUUAAUUAUCAUGGGUCAAGUAGACAACAGUUUCAUGGGAGGAAAUGGCACUGCGGCAUGUUCUUGGUUGAAGUCACCCGUGUGUGAACCUCCUCCAUGGCCACUAACCUCAAAUGGUUCAUAUCUUCCUUUGAGUUGGCGUGUGUUGGAUUAGUUUUCCAGCGACGUCUCUUUGAACUCUAGGAUUUCGAAAACCUAGAGAUAGGGCAAACACAUGAAUCGUGUGUCAUGUCAUUUGUCAAUACUACAAGAUGGAAGGAGGCAUGCUUUUGCACGUGAAGACAUAUAAUUUCUUAAACAUAUUUCUUAAACAUAUAAGCAUGUGCUUUGGAGCGGAUAAAAUUAUCCUACCAAAUUCCGUACAAAUAAAUUCUAUAUUAAUCGCAGUCCUAUGAAUUGAACAAUAGAAAGAAAAUCUUAAAGAUCAGAGUGCUCCAUUCAUUUGGUUCCUUUGACGAGCUGCAUGACGCGGCAAAGUCAACUACUGCUGUAUACAGGCUCCGUCGUCAAGCUGAGUCCACGUGGAAGCUCCUUAUCGACACAGAUAUCUACAUUCUCAGACCUCUCUCGUCCACCGCCGCUGCAGCUGCCCUGCACCCAUGGACCACGUGGGCACAACGUCCUGGCUGGUCCAGGCGGUGCUAGAGAAGUUCGUCAGCGACGACCUCGACGAUGCGACGCGCGGGGCCGACCCCGACCCUGACCCACGCAGCGAGGCCCUGCUCGGCUCUAUGAGCCGCCUCCACGGGCUCGCUAAGGACGCCGACAACCGCUUGAUGCUCUACCACCAGAUCCACGCGAACUCUAUUCGGAUGAGGAUAGUGAACAUCGGCAGAUCAAUGUUUAGAGGCGAGCUUAUGAUCUGUGAUGGGCGACUAGAAAUGUUUCGAGACAAAAAACUGCAGUUUUGAAGGUAUAGGACUAACUUGACACACUUAAUAGUUAUACGACGGUAACUAGCUAUCGUACAGUGUCUGUGAGACAUUGGAGCGAAACAAACAAGCGGGGUGCAUUUCUGUUAUUUUCGAUUUAAUUAUCAUGGAUGAAGAAGACAGCGGCUUCACGAGAGAAAAUGGCACUGCGGCAUGUUCUUGGAUCACGUCGCCCGUGUGUGAACCUCCUCCAUGGCUACUAACCUCAAAUGGUUCAUCACGUCCUUUGAGUUGGCGUGUCUUGGAUUCGUUUUUCAGUGACGUCUCUUUGAACUUUAGGAUUUCGAAAACCUAGAGAUAGGGCAAACACAUGAAUCGUGUGUCAUGUCAUUUGUCAAUACUACAAGAUGGCAAGGAAGUCUGCUUUUGCACAUGAAAACAUAUAA